AGAAAUACUAACAAAAAUCAAUACCACAUUAAGAAAAUAAUAUACCAUGACCAAGUGGAAUUUUUGCAAAAUUGGUUCAAAAUUAGACUAUCUUUCAAUAUGAGGAAAUCCACUAAAUAUAAUACCCCAUAUGAACAGACCUAUGGAGAAAAAUAAUAUAUUAUCUCCAUAGAUAGUGAAAGAACCUGCAACAGAAAUCAACAUCUAUUCUGGAUAAAAACAUUCAAGAAAGUGGAAAUUAAUAGAUAUUUCCUUUUAAUAUGAACAAAUAUAAACUCCCAAUUGGUUAGGGUUCUAAAUGUAUACAUGGAAACGAUAAGAUACUACAAGAAAACUAAAGUAAAUUCUACAUUAA
RNAcentral lists this long non-coding RNA (355 nucleotides) under Pan troglodytes (chimpanzee). Its description in RNAcentral is "long non-coding RNA NONPTRT014553". Lineage: Eukaryota; Metazoa; Chordata; Mammalia; Primates; Hominidae. The record is from RNAcentral.